RNAcentral lists this unclassified non-coding RNA (256 nucleotides) under Hevea brasiliensis (rubber tree). The record is from RNAcentral. Lineage: Eukaryota; Viridiplantae; Streptophyta; Magnoliopsida; Malpighiales; Euphorbiaceae.
UAGAAAUCAGGACAUGGUGAUAUGUUUAUUUGUUUGGCAAAAGAUCUUGUAUAUAUUUGUUGGCAAAGGAUGCUGAAAACUGAAGAAAAGAAUGUUUGGCAGGAGAGGUUACAGCUCAGUUUGUGCAUCUUCAAGUUAAAAGUUGUUGAUCAUUAGUCAACUGUAUAUCAGCAGGUCAUUGGCAUUCAAGGAAGCAUAGUAUGUAAUAUUCACAAGGGAACAUUGUAUUAAUUUAUUCAUCCAAUUGCAACAUUUA